Molecule: long non-coding RNA, 152 nt
Organism: Trachymyrmex septentrionalis
Lineage: Eukaryota; Metazoa; Arthropoda; Insecta; Hymenoptera; Formicidae
Exons: 3
Source: RefSeq, a predicted model, not a curated record
CCAAAAAAUUUCGUGAUCUAGAUUUUAUAAAAUGAUGAUGCAGAGGAUUAUAUUGCAAAUCAUUCAAAAGGUGUAAAAAAUCACGGUUUAUAGACACAGCCAUUAAUUUAUUAGAAAAGAAGUCAACAACGUCCGAGAAUAUUAAACAGAAA